RNAcentral lists this ribosomal RNA (478 nucleotides) under uncultured bacterium. Its description in RNAcentral is "bacterial SSU rRNA". It matches the Rfam family "Bacterial small subunit ribosomal RNA", at positions 30 to 507 of the family's 1533-position model. The record is from RNAcentral.
CGAACGCUGGCGGCGUGCCUAAUACAUGCAAGUCGAGCGGGGAUUAUGCUUGAUCGCUUCGGUGAGACGGCAUAUAUCCUAGCGGCGGACGGGUGAGUAACGCGUGGGUAAUCUACCUCGUAGUUCGGGAUAACAGGCCGAAAGGCUUGCUAAUACCGGAUGAGUUCAUGCUUAUGCAUAUAGGCAUGAAGAAAGGGCUAGCCCGCUAUGAGAUGAGCCCGCGUCCCAUUAGCUUGUUGGUGGGGUAACGGCCUACCAAGGCAACGAUGGGUAGCCGGCCUGAGAGGGUGUACGGCCACACUGGGACUGAGACACGGCCCAGACUCCUACGGGGGGCAGCAGUAGGGAAUUUUCGGCAAUGGGCGAAAGCCUGACCGAGCGACGCCGCGUGAGGGACGAAGGCCUUCGGGUUGUAAACCUCUGUCUGGGGGGAUGAGAACGGACGGUACCCCCGGAGGAAGCCCCGGCUAACUACGUG